CGCGGGUGAAAGGUCGAGCGUCAGCCGGCCCCGCCCCCUGGCGCGCGGGCGUGCGGAACCCGCAGAGUUCUUUGCGUUUCGGAAGCUCUUGGUGUGGCUGGCUGCGACCCGAGAGAAGAAGCUGGGCUGGUGGGGCUGCUGCCGCCGUCACAGGAAAUAAGUAACCAUGGUGCUCAACAGUUUGGAUAAGAUGAUUCAUCUCCAGAAAAACACUGCCAACAUCAGGAAUAUUUGUGUUUUGGCUCACGUUGACCAUGGAAAAACUACUCUGACUGACUGUCUUAUAUCUAGCAAUGGAAUCAUCUCCAGCCGCCUAGCAGGCAAGUUAAGGUACAUGGACAGCAGAGAAGAUGAACAGAUCCGAGGGAUCACUAUGAAAUCCAGUGCCAUUUCACUACAUUAUGCAACAGGUAAUGAGGAGUACCUGAUUAAUCUGAUAGACUCUCCAGGACACGUGGACUUUUCCUCAGAAGUAUCAACCGCUGUUCGCAUUUGUGAUGGAUGCAUCAUUGUGGUAGAUGCUGUGGAAGGAGUCUGUCCACAGACACAAGCAGUUCUGCGACAAGCUUGGCUUGAAAACAUCCGUCCAGUUUUAGUGAUUAAUAAGAUAGAUCGCUUGAUAGUGGAACUGAAAUUCACCCCACAAGAGGCCUAUUCUCACCUCAAGAAUAUUUUAGAACAGAUUAACGCACUCACAGGAACUCUUUUUACUUCUAAAGUCCUAGAAGAAAGAGCAGAGAGAGAGACUGAAUCCCAAGUGAAUCCACAUUCUGAACAAGGAGAGCAAGUAUAUGACUGGAGCACUGGCUUGGAGGACACAGAUGAUUCUCAGCUUUACUUCUCUCCAGAACAGGGAAAUGUGGUGUUUACCAGUGCAAUAGAUGGGUGGGGCUUUGGAAUUGAGCACUUCGCCAGAAUCUACAGUCAAAAAAUUGGCAUCAAAAAGGAAGUUCUUAUGAAAACCUUGUGGGGAGAUUACUGUAUAAAUAUGAAGGCUAAAAAGAUCAUGAAGGGUGAUCAGGCCAAAGGAAAGAAACCUUUAUUUGUACAGUUGAUCCUGGAAAAUAUAUGGAGUUUGUAUGAUGCUGUCUUGAAAAAGGACAAAGACAAAAUUGAUAAAAUAGUGACUUCUUUAGGAUUAAAAAUUGGAGCCCGGGAGGCACGACAUUCAGACCCUAAAGUUCAGAUCAACGCCAUUUGCAGUCAGUGGCUACCCAUAUCCCAUGCUGUUCUUGCGAUGGUGUGUCAGAAACUUCCUAGUCCCCUUGAUAUUACAGCCGAGAGAGUGGAGAGACUGAUGUGCACAGGAUCACAAACCUUUGACUCUCUUCCACCAGAAACUCAAGCACUGAAAGCAGCCAUUUUGCUCAGCCAGUACGAUGAGAGACCAGCGACUUCCUGUACACAUGCUCCUCGUGAGAAAAGAAGCUCCCAUUCUGGACUUUCUUUUAUGAAAUGUGGAAGUGAGGAGACUGCUCCAGUUAUCAUAUUUGUUUCCAAAAUGUUUGCAGUUGAUGCUAAGGCCUUGCCUCAGAAUAAGCCAAGGCCUCUCACUCAAGAAGAAAUUGCUCAGAGACAUGAGCGUGCAAGACAAAGGCAUGCAGAGAAGCUUGCAGCAGCACAGGGACAGGCACCCUUGGAGCCCACCCAAGAUGGCAGUGCCCUUGAAACAUGUCCAGAAGGAGAGGAGCCAAGAGGUGAUGAGCAACAGGUGGAAAGUAUGACCCCUAAACCUGUGCUCCAGGAAGAAGACAACCAAGAGUCUUUUAUUGCAUUUGCUCGAGUGUUCAGUGGUGUGGCUCAAAGAGGAAAGAAAAUUUUCAUCUUGGGGCCCAAAUACAGUCCUCUUGAGUUUUUACAAAGGGUACCAUUAGGCUUCUCAGCUCCACCAGAUGGCCUCCCCCCAGUCCCCCACAUGGCAUACUGUGCUCUGGAAAACCUGUAUCUUCUGAUGGGAAGAGAACUGGAAUAUCUAGAGGAGGUACCUCCAGGAAACGUGCUAGGAAUAGGAGGCCUUCAAGAUUUUGUGCUGAAAUCUGCAACACUGUGUAGCCUGCCCUCCUGCCCACCAUUUAUACCACUCAACUUCGAAGCCACUCCCAUUGUGAGAGUUGCUGUUGAACCGAAACAUCCAAGUGAAAUGCCUCAGCUCGUAAAAGGAAUGAAACUGUUAAACCAGGCUGAUCCCUGUGUCCAGAUUUUAAUUCAGGAAACAGGAGAGCACGUUUUAGUCACAGCAGGAGAAGUCCACCUUCAGCGAUGCCUGGAUGACUUAAAAGAAAGGUUUGCAAAGAUUCAUAUCAGUGUAUCUGAACCUAUUAUUCCAUUCAGAGAAACAAUCACAAAACCCCCAAAAGUUGACAUGGUCAAUGAAGAAAUAGGCAAACAGCAAAAAGUUGCAGUCAUACACCAAAUGAAAGAAGAUCAAAACAAAAUCCCUGAAGGAAUCCAAGUUGACUCUGUUGGGCUAAUCACCAUAACAACUCCCAAUAAACUUGCCACGCUCAGUGUUCGAGCCAUGCCCCUUCCAGAAGAAGUCACCCAGAUUCUGGAAGAAAAUAGUGAUUUGAUUCGUUCUAUGGAGCAGUUGACAUCCUCUUUGAAUGAGGGUGAAAAUACUCAGGUGAUUCAUCAGAAGAUCCAAGAGAAAAUUUGGGAAUUCAAAGGAAAACUAGAGCAACACCUAACAGGGAGAAGAUGGAGGAACAUUGUUGACCAAAUCUGGUCAUUUGGCCCAAGAAAAUGUGGGCCCAACAUACUAGUCAAUAAAAGUGAAGAUUUUCAGAACUCAAUAUGGACAGGUCCAGCAGCCAAAGCUUCAAAAGAAGCUAGUAGAUACCGAGAUUUGGGCAAUAGCAUUGUGAGUGGCUUCCAACUGGCAACCCUCUCUGGCCCCAUGUGUGAGGAGCCUCUCAUGGGUGUCUGUUUUAUUCUGGAAAAAUGGGACCUAAGUAAAUUUGAGGAGCAAGGAGCAAGUGAUCUGGCAAAAGAGGGACAGGAGGAAAAUGAAACCUGUUCUAGUGGAAAUGAAAACCAAGAGCUACAAGAUGGCUGCUCUGAGGCCUUUGAGAAGAGGACAUCCCAUAAAGGAGAAUCUCCACUCACUGACUGCUAUGGACCUAUCUCAGGACAGCUAAUUGCCACCAUGAAAGAAGCAUGUCGCUAUGCACUGCAAGUGAAACCUCAGCGCCUCAUGGCAGCCAUGUACACAUGUGACAUCAUGGCCACCAGUGAUGUUCUCGGUAAGGAAGAAAAGGUCGAGUCUAUGCUGUCUUGUCAAAGAGAGAAGGUCGAGUACUUCAAGAAGAAAUGAAAGAAGGAACAGACAUGUUCAUCAUCAAGGCUGUGCUGCCUGUUGCUGAAAGCUUUGGUUUUGCUGAUGAAAUCAGGAAGAGGACAAGUGGCCUGGCCAGCCCGCAACUGGUAUUCAGCCAUUGGGAGAUCAUUCCCAGUGACCCCUUCUGGGUGCCAACUACUGAGGAGGAGUACUUGCACUUUGGGGAGAAGGCUGACUCUGAGAACCAGGCCCGGAAGUACAUGAAUGCGGUACGAAAGCGGAAGGGGCUCUAUGUGGAAGAAAAGAUUGUGGAGCAUGCAGAAAAGCAGAGGACACUCAGCAAAAAUAAGUAACUAUCUACUGUUGGUGGAUUCUUUUCCUUAUAGUGAAUUAAAAAGUAUCAUCAAGGGUUUAAUAUUGGGAAAAUUUCUUUUUGCCACAUUAUCUCUGUUUAUUCACUUUCAAUAAAGUUGAUCCAUAUAAAUAUUUUAAAGAGGA
Molecule: RNA transcript, 3775 nt
Organism: Cercocebus atys (sooty mangabey)
Lineage: Eukaryota; Metazoa; Chordata; Mammalia; Primates; Cercopithecidae
Gene: EFL1
Gene name: elongation factor Tu GTP binding domain containing 1
Exons: 21
Source: RefSeq, a predicted model, not a curated record